This 490-nucleotide ribosomal RNA is filed under the name uncultured bacterium. RNAcentral describes it as "partial 16S ribosomal RNA". It matches the Rfam family "Bacterial small subunit ribosomal RNA", at positions 29 to 507 of the family's 1533-position model. The record is from RNAcentral.
GUGAACGCUGGCGGUAGGCCUAACACAUGCAAGUCGAACGGCAGCACAGUAAGAGCUUGCUCUUACGGGUGGCGAGUGGCGGACGGGUGAGGAAUACAUCGGAAUCUACUUUUUCGUGGGGGAUAACGUAGGGAAACUUACGCUAAUACCGCAUACGACCUACGGGUGAAAGCAGGGGAUCUUCGGACCUUGCGCGAUUGAAUGAGCCGAUGUCGGAUUAGCUAGUUGGCGGGGUAAAGGCCCACCAGGCGACGAUCCGUAGCUGGUCUGAGAGGAUGAUCAGCCACACUGGAACUGAGACACGGUCCAGACUCCUACGGGAGGCAGCAGUGGGGAAUAUUGGACAAUGGGCGCAAGCCUGAUCCAGCCAUACCGCGUGGGUGAAGAAGGCCUUCGGGUUGUAAAGCCCUUUUGUUGGGAAAGAAAAGCAGCAGGUUAAUACCCCGCUGUUCUGACGGUACCCAAAGAAUAAGCACCGGCUAACUUCGUG